UCAGGAUGAACGCUAGCGGCAGGCUAACACAUGCAAGUCGAGGGGCAUCGGGAGUAGCAAUACUGCCGGCGACCGGCGCAAGGGUGCGUAACGCGUGAGCAACAUGCCCGUAUCAGGGGGAUAAUCCAUGGAAACGUGGUCUAAUACCCCAUAGUAAUUAUGUAAGGCAUCUUAUAUAAUUUAAAGCUUUGGUGGAUACGGAUUGGCUCGCGUGACAUUAGCUGGAUGGUAAGGUAACGGCUUACCAUGGCUACGAUGUCUAGGGGUUCUGAGAGGAAGGUCCCCCACACUGGAACUGAGACACGGUCCAGACUCCUACGGGAGGCAGCAGUGAGGAAUAUUGGACAAUGGAUGGAAAUCUGAUCCAGCCAUGCCGCGUGCAGGAAGACGGCCCUAUGGGUUGUAAACUGCUUUUGUAUGGGAGCAAUAAGGGCUACGUGUAGUCCGAUGAGAGUACCAUACGAAUAAGCACCGGCUAACUCCGUGCCAGCCGCCGC
RNAcentral lists this ribosomal RNA (497 nucleotides) under uncultured bacterium. RNAcentral describes it as "bacterial SSU rRNA". It matches the Rfam family "Bacterial small subunit ribosomal RNA", at positions 24 to 518 of the family's 1533-position model. The record is from RNAcentral.